Molecule: unclassified non-coding RNA, 411 nt
Filed under: Hevea brasiliensis (rubber tree)
Lineage: Eukaryota; Viridiplantae; Streptophyta; Magnoliopsida; Malpighiales; Euphorbiaceae
Source: RNAcentral
GGGCUAACGAGCUUCCGAGCUUUCCUAAGCCGGAGACUAUAAGCAAAAUGUUAGUAAAUCAGAAGCUCCUCUGUUUUGGCAACAUAUUUGCUUCUGAGGAUGUCGGGGGAAUGCUCUCACUUCUAGAAAUGGUUGAGCAGUGUCUGAGAGCUGGAAAGAAACAAGCUUGGCAUGGUACCAGUGUUACAAACAUAUGUGUGGGCCUGCUAUCUGGCCUGAAGGCCUUGCUUGCUUUACGUCCUGAACCCUUACCACUGGAAGUACUUGGGUUGGCACAGUCUAUCUUUCAGAACAUUCUGGCUGAGGGUGACAUCUGUGCUUCACAACGCAGGGCAUCAUCUGAAGGACUUGGUCUAUUAGCUCGUCUAGGAAAUGAUGUGUUUACUGCCAGAUUGACAAGAGUUCUCCUUG